AGUGGCAGACGGGUGAGUAACAUGUGGGUAUCUACCCUUUGGCCUGGAAUAACACGAGGAAACUUGUGCUAAUACCGGAUAAGUCUUUACGGAGAAAGCUUUAUGCACCAUUGGAUGAGCCCGCACUUGAUUAGUUUGUUGGUAGGGUAAUGGCCUACCAAGACUAUGAUCAAUAGCUGAUUUGAGAGGAUGAUCAGCCACAUUGGGACUGAGACACGGCCCAAACUCCUACGGGAGGCAGCAGUGGGGAAUCUUGCACAAUGGAGGAAACUCUGAUGCAGCGAUGCCGCGUGAGUGAAGAAGGCCUUUGGGUUGUAAAGCUCUUUCGUCGGGGAAGAAAAUGACUGUACCCGAAUAAGAAGGUCCGGCUAACUUCGUGCCAGCAGCCGCGGUAAUACGAAGGGACCUAGCGUAGUUCGGAAUUACUGGGCUUAAAGAGUUCGUAGGUGGUUGAAAAAGUUGGUGGUGAAAUCCCAGAGCUUAACUCUGGAACUGCCAUCAAAACUUUUCAGCUAGAGUAUGAUAGAGGAAAGCAGAAUUUCUAGUGUAGAGGUGAAAUUCGUAGAUAUUAGAAAGAAUACCAUUUGCGAACGCAGCUUUCUGGAUCAUUACUGACACUGACGAACGAAGCAUGGGUAGCGAGAGAAUAGAUACCCUCGUAGUCCAUGCGU
RNAcentral lists this ribosomal RNA (671 nucleotides) under uncultured bacterium. RNAcentral's name for it is "bacterial SSU rRNA". It matches the Rfam family "Bacterial small subunit ribosomal RNA", at positions 94 to 802 of the family's 1533-position model. The record is from RNAcentral.